Non-coding RNA from Coffea arabica (coffee), 3431 nucleotides. The record is from RefSeq and is a predicted model, not a curated record. Lineage: Eukaryota; Viridiplantae; Streptophyta; Magnoliopsida; Gentianales; Rubiaceae.
UUUUUUUUUUUGGCUUAGAGACGGGACAUUAAAUGAACUCUCUUCAAACCAAAAGUUAGACAAACCAACAUUAUGUAAAUGUAGGGAAAUUCUUUAAUUGUCUUAUAUAACACCAAAUACUCUUUACCAAAAUGUAAAAUCUACCCAUUAUUAUAGAUAAUAGGUCUCUUAAACCCAAUUAGUCUGUAUGCUUAAGUAUCUAAUGAAAUUAAACUAGAAUACCUUUCUAAUUUGAACAACACUAUCGACUUCAUUAAUUAUUUUGGAUAGAAAUCAUCAUUUUAUACGUGAAAAAAAUUAUAUAUAUCAUCACACAUCAUUAGAAACAACAAAUCUUAACAUGAAUUUUCUCCAAAAAUUAUUUUGAAAAUGCAAAAAAUAUCAUCAAACAUGUCACAGAAAUAACAAUCCAAAUGGGCUCUUAAGUUUUCUUCAAAAAUCAUCAAACAUUUUUUUAAAAAAUGGGCUCUUAAGUUUUCUUCAAAAACUAUUCAAAAACUGCAAUCCGAACGGGCUCUCCCAUGUGGAUUGCUAUUUUCAAAAGUCUUUGUAAAGUAAUAUAUGGCAGAGAUUUGAUAUACGUAAAUUAAAAAAAAAAGAUAAUUAAAAAAAAUGUUAACAAAAAUCUAAAAAAUUUUUCAUGGAAAAUCAGGGUCCAAACAAGGUACGGUACUUGCCGCCAUUAACGUGGAGUCUAGUGUACACUCCACACUUGAGUGGAGUACUUCUUGUCUGUGUAAUUGCAUCAGCCCUUUACCUGUUCUCUGCUGGUUUCAGGUUUUGGAUGGGUUCUUGAGACCAAAAAGAGCCAAAAGCAGCAGCCGGAAACCCAACAUCUUUGCUGCUGCAGCAGCCCAGUCAAUUGCCGGAAAAUCAAAACUCAUCCUCGGAGCUCCAGGUCAUGGACCCUUCUCCUUCUCCUCCUGUUCAUCAUUUUGCAGCGGCGAGUGUUAUAGGCAACAAUGAAGAAAUCUUAACAUGUCUUUUACUUAUUUAACCCCGAAAUCCCUGGGAAGGAUUUGAUGGAUAUUUAUUUUGUGAAUGGAGUGUUGUGUGAUGGUGAUCUUCAAUGGCUAAGUGGAUGGAGGGACCCUCUGUGUUGAUCCAGACAAAGAAUGCCUUGACAAUUUAUUUUCUUCAUAUACAUUACAGUAAGUGGGAUAUUUGGUACUUUGGAGUGUCUUGAGGCUGUUUGUAUCUUAUUGAGGUUAAUGAGCCACAACGGCUAUUCUUUGACAUUUUUGAGAUGAAAAGGGACCAUUCUGAAUGGGUUUUGAAGUAUCAUAUAGACUUCAAUCCACUUUCAAUUUUAUAUCCUUCAAUGGUGGACGAAGGCCUUAUUUCAUUUGAUGAAGAUCAAUGUAGAUUUUGUAUACCUUGCUUGGUUGAGGAUGAGAAAGAAAGGAAACCGAGACUUGUGAUUGCUCUGCUGGGUAAGGUAAUUUUAUAUGAGAUCAAGGAUAUGGUUUUUAAGGAGCUCGUUGAAGUAGGGCCUGUGGAUGUUGAUCAUGAGUGGAAAUGUAACUCUUAUUACUGGACAGAUGCUUGCCGGUUUGUGGAGACUCUUGCUAGUGUUUGAUUGUUAUCCAUAACAUGCUACUAUAUGUAUCAAGAGGCUGCCUUGAUGUACUAAAUAAUAUCCUCCUGGUUGAAUAUUCAACGGUAUCAUUACAUUGUAUGAAGUUCCAUAUUUUCUUAAUCUGUGUGGCCUCACAUGUCAAAUGAUCAGAGGAGCUCCAAAACCAAUAAGCAAAAGCCAGAACCCCAGCUACUCUGCUGCAGCAACAAACUAGCCAAUUGCCCAAAAUAAAUAACUCAGCCUUGAAACCCCAAGCCAUGGAACCUUCUGAUUCUCCAUCUCCUCCUCUUAAUCAUUUUGCAGAGCCAGAACCCCAGCUACUCUGCUGCUUCAACAAACUAGCCAAUUGCCCAAAAUAAAUAACUCAGCCUUGAAACCCCAAGUCAUGGAACCUUCUGAUUCUCCUUCUCCUCCUCUUUAUCAUUUUGCAGCAAUUAUUAUAGGCAACAACAAGGAAAUCUUAAAGUACCUUUUACUUCACUUACCCCCAAAAUCCCUCAUUCGAUUUCAAUCCGUCUCCAAGCAAUGGCUCUCAAUCAUUUCCAGCGCCACUUUCAGGCAUCUGCAUUCUCAAUUUUAUCCCACCACCACAAUGACGACUUCCUCCUCUGGCACUGCUGCAGACUCUGGAGCCUUUGUUUUCAUCCACCAGAACUGGGACAAGCUUAAUUUUAUUUCCUUCCACCAAGAAAAUGCAAGUUCAGUGGGCACCACAUUUUCCAACUUGAGCAAUUUCAUUUCCUUUCAAGAUGGGCAGUUUCAGGGUUUUCAUUAUUGCAAUGGGUUAUUAGCUCUUGUGUUUCAAUCAAAAGAUGAUGGUCACAAAGACUUUCUUGUGUGUAACCCUACUAGCAGUCAGCAGAGGCAUAUUCCAAGGAUCAAUCUAUUGGAAAGGGAACGUCGCUUUGCGGCUCUGAACAUUGUGUUUCAUCCUGUAGAAUCUGAUGACUACAAACUUGUCUGUGUAUGGUCAGAACGUUACAUGCCAAGGAAUGAUGCGAGUCAAACCCCUCUAAGGAGAUAUGAAUUCUCUAUAUAUUCAUCUGAAACUGGGACUUGGAGGGACGCUAAGGCCAUAAAUGGGAGGGACUUUGUGUAUAUUUAUUUCAUGAAUGGAAUGUUGUGUAAUGGUGAUCUUCAUUGGGUAAGUGGUAGGAGGGAGACUUUAUGCUUUGAUUUAGAUAAAGAAUGCCUUAACUUAACAGUGCCUUCUCCUCGUAUGCAUCAUAGUGAGUCGGAUAUUUGGGACUUUGGAGUGUCUUGAAGCUGUUUGUAUCUUAUUGAGGUCAAUUGCCCACAAGCGCUGUUAUUCGACAUUUUUGAGUUGAAAAGGGACUAUUCUGAAUGGGUUUUGAAGUGUCAACCAGACCUCUCUCCUGUUACAACUUUGUAUCCUUCAGUGGUGGAUGAAGUUUCUGGUCCGUUUGGUGAUGGUCGAUGCAGAUUUUGUAUAACUUGUUUUCGUGAGAAUGAUGAGAAAAAGCCGAGGCUUCUGAUUUCUCUGUUGGGGAAGGUAAUUUUAUAUGACGUUGAGGAUCUGACUGUUAAGGAGCUUGUUGAAGUGGGGCCAACGGAUACUGAUCAUGGCUGGAAGAGUAACUAAAGGGUGUGGAGUUACGUGUUAAGAUAAUUUCAAAUGCUAAUUUCUUUAGUAAGAAUAAAAUUAAUUUGGAAAAGUAUCUAAAUUGAAGAGAUAAUUAAUAUAAUUGUGUAUAUCCACAUUGUAAUUAUGUUUGGCGUAUAGUAAAUUAAGUGUAAUUAAAGUGUUGGGAGCACUUGUUAGAAAAACCUUUGGUAAAUUGGAAUUAAGAAUGGCAUGAAUCAUAACAUGAAGUCGCAGUGGAGGUUAGUA